AGCCGUGUGGUCGACACAUAUCAAACUAUUAUUUCACCUUUUACUAAAGAAUACCAUGCGUUGGCCACACUGAGUGGCAUACACAAAUAUUUGGAGGCUUCCAUCUCUUUAAGAUGGAG
This is a non-coding RNA of Picea glauca (white spruce), 119 nucleotides long. Lineage: Eukaryota; Viridiplantae; Streptophyta; Pinopsida; Pinales; Pinaceae. The record is from Rfam.